Long non-coding RNA from Lynx canadensis (Canada lynx), 752 nucleotides. RefSeq lists it as uncharacterized. Lineage: Eukaryota; Metazoa; Chordata; Mammalia; Carnivora; Felidae. The transcript is spliced from 4 exons. The record is from RefSeq and is a predicted model, not a curated record.
UUCCAUGCAGGUAGUCUGGGGUGAUGGAAUGUCACAGAAGAGAGAUGCCCAGCAAGGCCGGAGCAGAGGCCCACGGCACGGCCAGACACUGGGAUGAGCUGGGGAGGUGGCCUGCUCAAAACUGAGACUUGAGAAGAAUCUCUCUUGAAAGAGAGGCCCAAUCUUCCUCGGCUGUGGGGGCGCAGAGGAGGGGUGACAGCUAGCUGAAGGGAUCUGGUGGCUUCAGAGGACACGGCACGAGCAAGUGGUUGGGACUCUGGCUUCAGAGCUCAGCAGACUCGGGUUCAAGUUCCGGUAUCCAGCACGUGCUCACUGGGUCUCCUUGGGGAGUCGCUUAACUUCUUGGAGUCUGUGAAAUGAGGACGCUGAGAGUACCUUCCUCGUAGGGGUGAGAAGAAUGGGUGGAAUCAUUCAGGGAAAGGAGUGCUGGGCACACCGGCUGGCACAUAGUGUCUAUGGAGGACUCCACGUGGCAAGGAAAUGAUGCCUCUGGCCGAGGGCUAGCAAGGACCCGAGACCUGCCAAAAUCCACGACCGAGAAGUCCCCAAGGACAGGAGCAGGAGCCAGAACCAGGAGGGGAUGUGGUGUGGAGAGGGCUGCCUUCCAGGGGCUGUGGCCUUUGGUAGAAGAUGCAGAUGACCCAUGGCGGCCCAGCAAGGAGGACACUGGGGAGUAAGUAGCCUGACCACUCCUUAUUCCUGCCUGGGAGCACUUGGUGUCCCUCGUUGGCUGAGUCCACCCUGAAGGCAAG